GUGUCGUUUCAGUUUCAGAUACUGCGUCCGCAGUAGUUGAAAGCGUCGCGACAUGAACGGAUCUGGUGGAGGCGUCGCGAUAAAUGUGCAGGUUACGUAGUGGGAAGUUCGAAAGCGAUCGCAUGUGGUAGAUAACACCAAACUAAACCAGCCCAACCCUCCGAAACUACCAAAGCACAACCACGUCAAACCUGCCAGACCGAGCAUAUCAUUCUAACCUCAACGCCACCACAAAUCACGUCCUCAUCAAUGAAUCCAUGGAUGCUUUCUUCCUCAACCAAAGCCAUCUGGCCUUCUACAGUACAAACCACGCGGACUUCUCGACUGACAACGUUUCGGACUCGGACGUCAAUAUCACUAGGUCUUUCCCCAGGUUAAGUUCGCCUCUGGCAGUGACCAUAGCAGUAUUACUAGUGUUCCUUUUCUCGCCGAUGAUCCUCAUAGGGAACUCGCUCUUCCUGGUGGCGAUGUACCGGUUCAAAAGAUUGCGCACGCCCAGUAACUACCUCUUCAUGUCGCUGGCGACGUCGGAUUUGGGCAUCGGGAUGUUCAUGCCCAUCGGGAUGUACUUGGAGCUCGGAGGCACCCAGAACUUCACCAGCAUCCGGAUCUGCUUGUUCAGCUACGGUGUCGCCAUCUCGUUGUGUUGUGUGUCAGUGUUAGUGAUGGUGGCCAUAGCGGUGGACAGAUUCACGUCUCUAGCGAGGCCGCUGCGGUACAAUAAUCUGAUCACUCAUUCUGCCGUGGAGAGGUACAUCUUGGUGUUUUGGGCUUACUCUUCAUUGGUAGGAUUCACGCCCUUGGGGUACUCCGUUUUGAAUCAUUUGGAUCAGCGCACAGAGAUUUGUUCGUUCGGCGGUCUCGUAGCCAAACCCAUACAGCUCUUCAUGUUCUGCGCAGUGUACGGCCCGAGCGCCGUCGUUCUACUCGUCUGCUACGGUUACAUCUACGUCGUAGCUCGAGGCCAUGCUCGGGCCAUCCGAUCGGAAGUACGUCAUUCUCGGCACUCGGCUCAACGAGCACCAAUGACGGGAGGGCCAGGGCCGCCUAGAUACGGUUUAGCGUUAGCUAUAACAGCGGGAAUGUUCCUCGUUCUUUGGUUACCAUUCCAGGUAUGCAUGCUGAUGGACGUCUUCAUCGGCACCAACAUCCUCACAGCUUGGAUCUCAGUCUACUUGGCGCUCCCCAUCCUAGCAAGCAGCGCCUUCAACCCGUGGGUCUACGGCUACCGGAAUUCCGAGCUUCGCCGAGCAGUACGCAGAGUAGUAGACGACCUCUUGACUGCCUUAGGCUUCACGCACCGCAGCAGCCACGGAACGUCAGACCAGCUUCCCCCCAGUGCAGCAGCAACAGCUGGAGACGUCGGCUCUUUCAUCAACAACGUGCAGAGAGACUGCUUCGAGUGGAAACCCGCAGCGGACUUCCUCCUGGUGCCCAUGGCGCACCCGGAAAGCUCCGGGGUCGUUUCUGACUGCGAGCAGCGCAUCUUCAGCGAUAAUCCUAGGCUGCUGCUCGCUGGCGAGGCGCCUAGACAGCUGCGGAUGUCCAGAAGCAUGGUAGAGAGCUUCGCCGUGAACCGGGGUUCGGACAUUGUGAUAAUAACCGGGAGGGAACGAGGGAUGAAGCACGGAUCUAGUGUGGUGUGAGGAGGAGAUUUAUGAUGUUGUUAUCCGAAGUUUGGGGAGUAGGAGUGGGAGAUUUUAAGCUUUGUCUAGUCAAUUUCUAUGUUUCUUUGUUUGUGAUUGUUCCAAUGAAGGAUGAAUGGGCGAAGGUGGGUUCUGCUUUUCAGUUGGUGGGAUGAUUUUGGAAAACUAGAUGUAGCUUAUGAAGAAGCCAACUAGGGAGUUCAACACUGAAGAAUCAAAUCGCGAAUGUCAAUGCUAAAUGGGGCUAUCAUUGGCGUGCUUACUCAUAAACAGCCUUGCCUCUUAAGUUGAGUCUAGCACCAAGAUCUGACUAAGGGGGCAGAAAUGAGUUCAAUUCAAAGAAAGCUAAGACUUGCUGAUAUUGAUGAAUAUAUUCUCAGAAGUUUUGGAAUAAUUCCACGAUGGAUGUCAUUCUCUUCAAUCACCUUUCAGCUAUUUUGAUGAUAACUGAAGUUUAUUCUCAGGGAACUACGCAAAUGAGAGUAUAACAUAAACGUCGCAUCUGAUACAAACAUUUUUCUGGCUACGGAAAAAUAGACAAAUAUCUCACAUGACGGUACUGGUUUCCUCCCAUCAAGAGGCCAAAUGUUUUGUGACUACUCUUGACGACUCAGAUGUUACUCAACUCGUGAAACUUUUCAGUUCCUGAAGGUACGAAGGAUGAAAUACAUAGACUAUUGUCUCGGGCUUCGACAUUAUAAUAGUAGCAACCAAAUGGUGCAAAAUCACCUCUCACAACAGUCAUUGAUUGAAUUGAGGCAUUUCAACUUCAAAAUGAAGACCUUUUGAAUAUCGAUAAUCAAUUAGUCAUACCAUCAAAUUUGAACUGAACGUAAUCAUAUUGGGUUUUGAUUUAUCAGUAUUAUAUUCCAGGCUAUGAACUUCCAUAGUUCUUGAUAUUUCAUCUUGAAAUCUGUUGACCAACUGAUGAGCAGAAUCAUCACCAUGUUGAAUGGCUUAUAUACAGGGUAACGAGCAAAAUUUAAGUUCUUGAGUCGGUUAUAUUGGUAGUUUCAUAUUGAAGCACAUUUUUCUUGUUUAUCAUCGAUAACUUCUCCAUAAGAAACUUACCUUUUAAUGAGAAUGAAGUAUGAGAGUAAAACUGUUACAAAAGCUGUUUAUGAAUAUGAAAAUUUUGCAAAUUUCUGUUGAUACUUCCUUUGAAAAAUGCGAAUGAAACUCCACAACACUUAUGAUUUUAUGAAGUUGCUCUUUCAUUCACUUUGAAAAUAAUUUCCAGAUUCAGUAUACUCUGACCCAAUUGUGAUGAGGUAUAAAAAGUCAACAGUGGACCAUGGAUGGAAUGUUGUAUACAAGUAUGAAUUUAUUUAGAAACGAACUCAUUAUAAUUGUUUUCAUUAAAAUUUAUUUUUUUAUCAAG
RNAcentral lists this unclassified non-coding RNA (3027 nucleotides) under Leptinotarsa decemlineata (Colorado potato beetle). RNAcentral's name for it is "adenosine receptor A2b-like, transcript variant X2". Lineage: Eukaryota; Metazoa; Arthropoda; Insecta; Coleoptera; Chrysomelidae. The record is from RNAcentral.